Molecule: long non-coding RNA, 584 nt
Organism: Salvelinus sp. IW2-2015
Lineage: Eukaryota; Metazoa; Chordata; Actinopteri; Salmoniformes; Salmonidae
Source: RefSeq, a predicted model, not a curated record
GCAGGUCCUUUUCUGAAUGACUCUCAACUACAGCCGUACACCUCAACUCCGUCCACCUCACAGGAUAAGCAGAGGCAUGCCAAGACACUUCAGCUCUCCCUAGACCCAUAUACUAAAUACACUGAGUAACUCUGGUCUAUCACACUUUUCACACUCUAGUAGCUAGCCAUCGGAGCAGAAGAUUCUCUUUAGAUUCUCCAUUUAAGCAGAGGGACAGCCGAAGCCUGAUUUUCUGUCCGUCCUACACCCGAGGUUCCUAAAGCCAAAGCAUACUUGGCUCUUCUCCACAUUAUUGACGUCUGCCCCAGCCUAGGGCUCAGUGAUCGACAUCUGUAUGAUGACCAUGAGGGUGUGUGCGGUGCUCUAUGCCCUCAUGUUACUGCUGUCACGGACUCUAUCCAAAACACACGUUGCGUAUCCACAGCGCUCCAUGGAGAUAAGUUGUUGUGUGUCUUCUAUUUUUCCUCCCCCGAAAAUAUUUGUGACACUCAGAUCCAGACAUCUAUGCCUCGUGGUACACAGGACGAGGGAUCCGACCAUUAGGACGUUUUGGGCGACGGACGAACGGGAGAAUCCAAAGGCUG